CUUAAAUGCUCCCUCCUCACUUUUCCACCUCCGGAUCGGGAUUGGGUCCUCCCAGUAAUGUGGAAAGCUGGGCGCUAGGAACAGGCUCCGCUGCUUUCAGAGUAGUGCUGGUCGUUUCCUCACUGGAGGAGUAAUUCAGGAAUCGGAUGAGUCUCUGUGGUUUGUUUUGCCCUGAAGAGCAGAAGGCUUCGGUCCCAGCUGGUGUUGCCAAAGCAGCAUACUAAUUCCAUGCCGUGGUCCUGGGUCAAGAUCUGCACAAUCUGAUUGGCCAUAUCACCUCGGAUGGCAAGGGAACGGAAGUGGUCAAAAUCAUGAAGACCCAGCUUCCGGAGACGCCUUGCAGCUGCCCGGUAUCUCAGACCCUAGUGAGGAGGAAAGAGUUCUAAGGGCAUAACCUGUAUUCCUUAUCAGGAAGGUGAGGAACAGAGCAAGCACCAUCUUAUAAAACUCUGCUUUUCAGACUUGUAGUUGGGUAAGUCUGGAUUCCAGAGAUUCCUCAUUUAGCCUUCACUCUACAACCUCAAUUUUACUACCUGGCUUCACCACCCCCUUCUGAGAGUUAUUCUGCUUCUACAUCCAUUACUCCCAAAAGUCGCUGCUGAUCUUCCUUCUAGCCAAGUCUAAUGAUUUGUGAUUUUCACCAUCUCAGCACCUUUUUGACUCUUAAACAAGUCACCAUCUCCUUUCUCUAGCGUUGACUUCUAUAACCAUUAUAACCAAUUCAAAUUUGUGUUGUUCUAAUCCAUUUUUUCAAGGCAUUUUUAUGUAUCACCUCAUUUUGCUCUGUGCAACAAUCCUGUAAGGAAAAUACUUAGGCCUUUUUGCAAGUGAAGAAAGUGUGGCGGGAAGUCACCUAAUGUCCAAUAAUAGUAGCAUGGAUACUUAAAUGUGGUAUAUUCAUUAAGACAGAAUACUAAAUAGCAGUUACAAAUGAAGGAAUUCAGCUCAGUGCAUCAAUAUGGAUGACAAUGUUGAAUAUAUAAUGCUCAGUAAAAAAGCAAGACACAAAACAAAAUACAUGGUAAGCUUCCAUUUAUAUGAAGUUCAAAAAUGGGUAAGAUUAAACUACAUUGUUUAGAGAUACAAAAAUAGUGAGCUAUAAAGAAAAGCAAGUAAAUAAUAAAAGUCAGGCUAGUUGUUACCUUUGGGUGGAGGGGGCGGUUUAUGAACAGGGGAAGUGAUAUAAGGGAUUCAUGGGGUACUCACAAUGUUUCAUUCGUGAUCUGGACUAUUGUGAUAAAGGUGUCUACAUUAUAAUAAUUCAUAAAGUGUAAAUUUAUGUUUUAGGCACUUUUCUCUAUGUGUGGCAUAGAAUUUCACAAAAAAUUCUGUAUUUUAAAAAUUAUGAUUCAGAGGCUAGUGACCUGUCCAAUGUCACACAGUACAUGGAAUGAUUUAGGCUACAUUAGAUUCUUUCCUCUAUACCAGGCUUCUCACAUUUUAAUAUCCAUAUUAAUAAUUAAUGAUAUGCAUAACACCUAUGGAUCUUAUUAAAAUAAAGCUGCUGAUUUAAUAGAUUGUGUGUUGCGGGGGGACCGAGAUUCUGUAUUUCUAGUUUGUUUGUUUUUUAAGUAGGCUACAUACUCAGCAUGCAGCCAACUCGGGGCUUGAACUCACAACCCUGAGAUCAAGACCUGAGGUGAGAUCAAGAAUAGGACCCUUAACUGUCAGAGUGACCUAGGCGCCCCCUGAGAUUCUGGAUUUCUAAUAAGCCACCCAAGUCAUACUGACGUUGUAGCUCAAGGACCACAUUUUGAGUAGGAAGGUCCUAUACUAUGCUGCUUAAUUUUCUCCCCAUUUCCAUACUUAUUUCUAUUCUGGCUCCCUCUUCCAAUCUGAUUUUGGGUAUGCCAGUUUGACUAGUCAUUUUGCUGCAUCAGUCACUCCUCCACAUCUCUUCACCCUCUCCAUCCUCAAUUCCCCAAUCUCAGAAUACCCUAGAAGCUUAAAAAAGAAAAUAUAGGGGUGCCUGGGUGACUCAGUCAGUUACGUGUCUGCCUUUGGCUCAGGUCAUGAUCCCAGGGUCCUGGGAUGGAGCCCCACAUUGAGCUCCCUGCUCAGCGGGGAACCUGCUUCUCCCUCUCCCUCUGCCUGUCGCUCCCCAACUUGUGCUCUGUCAAAUAAAUAAAUAAAAUCUUAAAAAAAAAAAAAAAAAGAAAAUACAGACUCAAGGGUUCAAUCACCCAAGAUCCUGAAUCAGUAGGUCUAGAGUGGGGCCUGGACGUUUUAGAAAUGUAAACAAAGCACCCUAUAAAUUAUGGUACAUCCAUACAAUUUUGAAGCUGCUAAAAAAGAAUGUAGUGACAUGAGUGACCUCCAAAUCAUCAAGUGAAAAGCAAGGUGAAAAAUAGUGUGCUACUAUGUAUAAAGCUAAAAGAGGUAGGAUAUUUAUACAUACAUAAAUGCUUGUGUACACAUAGGCUGCAUGCCCAAGAAAUUAUAAACAGCGGUUGCCAUUGUGUAGGGGGAAAGGAGAAUUUAGGGUCAGGAGUAGAGACUUACUUUUUAUUACAUGCCUAUAAUUUGCAAUCAUAGGGUCAGAAUGUCUGCUUCUCUAGGAUAUGCUAGUAGUUACAAUAGGUGUCAGACAUUUCGAUAUUCUGGAUGUGAUUUCACUAUAAUCACUCUACGCUUAACAAUAGCGGUAAGAAGACAGGGCAAUGCCUUCCUCCACCAGGAAGCUGUAUUCUCCCUCUCGAUCCUCUCCA
Zalophus californianus (California sea lion) is the source of this 2708-nucleotide long non-coding RNA. RefSeq lists it as uncharacterized. The record is from RefSeq and is a predicted model, not a curated record. NCBI's taxonomy places the organism in Eukaryota, Metazoa, Chordata, Mammalia, Carnivora, Otariidae. The transcript is spliced from 3 exons.